GAUUAUGACUCAUUUAUUCCAGUUUUUAGUAAGCAAUGCCCUGUGGCUUCUGCAACAAGCAGCAGUGGCCACGUGGCAGGGACCGAGCAGAGCAUGAUCGAGCAUGGCACUCUCUGAGCACCGGAGCCUAGGCCUCGACCAGGAGCCAGGGGACAUGGAGGGCUCACUCAGGGGGAUCAGAGGAGCGGGCCAGCUCCAUUCCCUACGAGCCGUGCCACAAGUGCCAUGACAGACUGAUGGACGGAUGAGGGUGAGCUCAGAGGAGGCGGCAGGAGAGCGAAAGGCGCAUCUGUGAGGGGCACUCAGCCUCAGCGUGGCAGAGAAGGUGGGAUGGCGGGCAGAGGCCACACCCUCAGCCGUGCUACUGAGACAGUAAAUCCAAGGCAGGGAGCGGAGGAAGACGGGGCAGAGAGAUGGUCAGCGUCUGGGUAAGGGACUUGGUCUUGUGUGGGAAAUGGAGCCUACUGGAGGGUUUAAAGAUGGGAAGGAUGUGGUCAGAAAUGAGUUUCUGAAAACUGGUCCUGGCAGCCAUGGUGCCCUCCAGGGAUGGACAGAGGGAGACGCCACAUAGGCAGUGAGACCCAGCAGGACACUAGCGCCAUUCCUGCAGGAGGAGAUGACAAGGCCUGAACGUGGAGGGGGAUGGGAAGAAACAAUUUAGAACUCUUUAAGAGGCCAGAGGACUAGGUGACAGACAGAGGAGCAUGAAGCACUCAGGAACGCUUCAAGUAACAGAAACCCCCACAAAUGUGAUGGGGUGAUUUCACACACAAAAAAAAGAUCAGGAGACAGCAGUCAGGUUGAAAUGAACGUGGCUCUGUAAUGCCAUCCCUCCACCUUUCCCCUGCACCAUCCUCAAUGAGUGGCUCUUUGUCCUUAAGCAUGUGGCCUCGGGGUCACAAGAUGGCUGAGCGACUUCAGUGGAGUUCAUUGGUACCCAGAACAAAAUCAGAAUUCAGUUAGGGAGGAGGAGCAGAUGAGUAUUGGCUGGGCACUUAGCAGCAUCUAGGGGGCGCCCCCGGUUUGACAAGCCAGUUUGGAGGCACAUAAAGUUUGAGGUGCCCAUGGGCAUCCGGGGAAGCUGGGCAGUUAGAUGAAGUUAGCUUCAGGGGCACCUGAAGCUUGGGUGAGGACGGUCACCUGAAGCCAUAGACUCAGGAUCACCAGCUCAUAAUGAAAGAUGACCUUCCGGAAGUUUCCGAGUCCAUUCCACGAGUCUGCUCUAGAAACUGCACGUCCUCUAGACCUACCAAAACAAGAACGGGGCAUGGUGUCAGGCUUCCAGAAGAGAGAAAUCCCAUUGCCUCAGCUCUGGGACAGUUUCUGUGGGUGAACCUUGGCCCCCGUGAGCUGAUGCGCUCCUCGGGGGACGGCUGUGCCUCCCUCCUGGUCCCCUGGCAGUGCACACAGGGCAAGACUAAACACACAAGGUCGACAGACAGAGCGGCAGGACCUCUGCUCACGCUGUGUUCCAAGCCCUUCCUUUAGCAAGGCUCGCCGUCCAUCUUUGCCACUGUGGUUGACAUAGCUGCUGGCAUGGAGAUGCGCCCCUUGUGCCUUCUCCCACCAGCACUCAGGACCCUCAUCUGUGAUCAGAGCUGCCAGGAAGGUGGCCUCCUUGCUCAUUGUUAAUCAUCCAUUUAGUUAGACCGACAAGGGCCUUCCCUCAGUGACUGGCCCUUCCGCACAACCAGAGCCAGGCCUGGACUGUCCCUGGCAGCAGCCUGCCCGCGUCCUCCCACGGGCCCACAGUGGCCCCUCCUGGGGAGCCCAGGGACCCAAGAGCAGGCCAGGCAAGGCUGUCUGGACCAUCCCUCCCCUUCUCUCUGCCUCACUGACCGAAGGCAGCUUCUGAAGAAGGGGGAUCUUCUCAAACGAAGGCGUUUUGCAGCUCCUCAGCAG
This 1902-nucleotide long non-coding RNA is filed under the name Equus asinus (donkey). RNAcentral describes it as "lncRNA (ENSEASG00005028039.1)". Lineage: Eukaryota; Metazoa; Chordata; Mammalia; Perissodactyla; Equidae. The record is from RNAcentral.